RNAcentral lists this ribosomal RNA (522 nucleotides) under Serratia sp. (in: enterobacteria). Its description in RNAcentral is "bacterial SSU rRNA". It matches the Rfam family "Bacterial small subunit ribosomal RNA", at positions 77 to 596 of the family's 1533-position model. The record is from RNAcentral. Lineage: Bacteria; Pseudomonadati; Pseudomonadota; Gammaproteobacteria; Enterobacterales; Yersiniaceae.
UGCUUCCUCGCCGGCGAGCGGCGGACGGGUGAGUAAUGUCUGGGGAUCUGCCCGAUGGAGGGGGAUAACCACUGGAAACGGUGGCUAAUACCGCAUAACGUCGCAAGACCAAAGUGGGGGACCUUCGGGCCUCACACCAUCGGAUGAACCCAGAUGGGAUUAGCUAGUAGGUGGGGUAAUGGCUCACCUAGGCGACGAUCCCUAGCUGGUCUGAGAGGAUGACCAGCCACACUGGAACUGAGACACGGUCCAGACUCCUACGGGAGGCAGCAGUGGGGAAUAUUGCACAAUGGGCGCAAGCCUGAUGCAGCCAUGCCGCGUGUGUGAAGAAGGCCUUCGGGUUGUAAAGCACUUUCAGCGAGGAGGAAGGUGGUGAGCUUAAUACGCUCAUCAAUUGACGUUACUCGCAGAAGAAGCACCGGCUAACUCCGUGCCAGCAGCCGCGGUAAUACGGAGGGUGCAAGCGUUAAUCGGAAUUACUGGGCGUAAAGCGCACGCAGGCGGUUUGUUAAGUCAGAUGUG